CCUACGGGGGGCAGCAGUGAGGAAUAUUGGUCAAUGGACGAGAGUCUGAACCAGCCAAGCAGCGUGCAGGAUGACUGCUCUAUGGGUUGUAAACUUCUUUUAUAAAGGAAUAAAACGAGGCACGUGUGCCUUUUUGCAUGUACUUUAUGAUUAAGGAUCGGCUAACUCCGUGCCAGCAGCCGCGGUAAUACGGAGGAUCCGAGCGUUAUCCGGAUUCAUUGGGUUUAAAGGGAGCGUAGAUGGGUUGUUAAGUCAGUUGUGAAAUUUCGCGGCUUAACUGGAAAAUUGCAUUUGAUACUGGCAGGCUUGAGUACAGUUGAGGUAGGCGGAAUGCGUGGUGUAGCGGUGAAAUGCUUAGAUAGCACGAAGAACACCGAUUGCGAAGGCAGCUUACUAAACUGUGACUGACAUUGAUGCUCGAAAGUGUGGGGAGCAAACAGGAUUAGAUACCCCUGUAGUC
RNAcentral lists this ribosomal RNA (460 nucleotides) under uncultured bacterium. RNAcentral's name for it is "partial 16S ribosomal RNA". It matches the Rfam family "Bacterial small subunit ribosomal RNA", at positions 338 to 795 of the family's 1533-position model. The record is from RNAcentral.